This 406-nucleotide ribosomal RNA is filed under the name uncultured bacterium. RNAcentral's name for it is "partial 16S ribosomal RNA". It matches the Rfam family "Bacterial small subunit ribosomal RNA", at positions 30 to 526 of the family's 1533-position model. The record is from RNAcentral.
AUUGAACGCUGGCGGCAGGCCUAACACAUGCAAGUCGAACGCGUGGCGGACGGGUGAGUAAUGUCUGUGAAACUGCCUUAUGGAGGGGGAUAACUACUGGAAACGGUAGCUAAUACCGCAUACCUUCCGAUGUUCCCAGAUGGAAUUAGCUAGUAGGUGGGGUAAAGGCUCACCUAGGCGACGAUCCCUAGCUGGUCUGAGAGGAUGACCAGCCACACUGGAACUGAGACACGGUCCAGACUCCUACGGGAGGCAGCAGUGGGGAAUAUUGCACAAUGGGCGAAAGCCUGAUGCAGCCAGGCCGCGUGUAUGAAGAAGGCCUUCGGGUUGUAAAGCACUGUCAGCGGGGAGGCGUUACCCGCAGAAGAAGCACCGGCUAACUCCGUGCCAGCAGCCGCGGUAAUUC